GACGAACGCUGGCGGCGUGCCUAAUACAUGCAAGUUGAGCGCUGAAGGUUGGUACUUGUACCAACUGGAUGAGCAGCGAACGGGUGAGUAACGCGUGGGGAAUCUGCCUUUGAGCGGGGGACAACAUUUGGAAACGAAUGCUAAUACCGCAUAAAAACUUUAAACACAAGUUUUAAGUUUGAAAGAUGCAAUUGCAUCACUCAAAGAUGAUCCCGCGUUGUAUUAGCUAGUUGGUGAGGUAAAGGCUCACCAAGGCGAUGAUACAUAGCCGACCUGAGAGGGUGAUCGGCCACAUUGGGACUGAGACAAGGCCCAAACGCCUACGGGAGGCAGCAGUAGGGAAUCUUCGGCAAGGGGCGAAAGUCUGAACGAGCAACGCCGCGUGAGUGAAGAAGGUUUUCGGAUCGGAAAACUCUGUUGGUAGAGAAGAAAGUUGGUGAGAGUGGAAAGCUCAUCAAGUGACGGUAACUACCCAGAAAGGGACGGCUAACUACGUG
RNAcentral lists this ribosomal RNA (497 nucleotides) under uncultured bacterium. RNAcentral's name for it is "partial 16S ribosomal RNA". It matches the Rfam family "Bacterial small subunit ribosomal RNA", at positions 28 to 507 of the family's 1533-position model. The record is from RNAcentral.